CAGUCGCCGCGGGAAUACGUAGGGUGCAAGCGUUAAUCGGAAUUACUGGGCGUAAAGCGUGCGCAGGCGGUUCGCUAAGACAGAUGUGAAAUCCCCGGGCUUAACCUGGGAACUGCAUUUGUGACUGGCGGGCUAGAGUAUGGCAGAGGGGGGUAGAAUUCCACGUGUAGCAGUGAAAUGCGUAGAGAUGUGGAGGAAUACCGAUGGCGAAGGCAGCCCCCUGGGCCAAUACUGACGCUCAUGCACGAAAGCGUGGGGAGCAAACAGGAUUAGAUACCCCCGUAGUCCCUGUCUCUUAUAC
Molecule: ribosomal RNA, 301 nt
Filed under: uncultured bacterium
Lineage: Bacteria
Description: partial 16S ribosomal RNA
Rfam family: Bacterial small subunit ribosomal RNA
Source: RNAcentral